GGGUUGUGAGGUUAAGCGACUAAGCGUACACGGUGGAUGCCCUGGCAGUCAGAGGCGAUGAAGGGCGUGCUAAUCUGCGAUAAGCGCCGGUAAGGUGAUAUGAACCGUUAUAACCGGCGAUACCCGAAUGGGGAAACCCAGUGUGAUUCGUCACACUAUCAUUAACUGAAUCCAUAGGUUAAUGAGGCGAACCGGGGGAACUGAAACAUCUAAGUACCCCGAGGAAAAGAAAUCAACCGAGAUUCCCCCAGUAGCGG
RNAcentral lists this ribosomal RNA (257 nucleotides) under Salmonella enterica. RNAcentral describes it as "partial 23S ribosomal RNA". It matches the Rfam family "Bacterial large subunit ribosomal RNA", at positions 1 to 249 of the family's 2925-position model. Lineage: Bacteria; Pseudomonadati; Pseudomonadota; Gammaproteobacteria; Enterobacterales; Enterobacteriaceae. The record is from RNAcentral.